RNAcentral lists this ribosomal RNA (253 nucleotides) under uncultured bacterium. RNAcentral describes it as "partial 16S ribosomal RNA". It matches the Rfam family "Bacterial small subunit ribosomal RNA", at positions 524 to 776 of the family's 1533-position model. The record is from RNAcentral.
UACAGAGGGGGCAAGCGUUGUUCGGAAUUACUGGGCGUAAAGGGCGCGUAGGCGGCCUUCUAAGUCAGACGUGAAAUCCCCGGGCUCAACCCGGGAACUGCGUCUGAUACUGGAAGGCUUGAAUCCGGGAGAGGGAUGUGGAAUUCCAGGUGUAGCGGUGAAAUGCGUAGAUAUUGCUCGGAAGGCCAGAGCCGAAGGGGCCCUACUGGUGCGCAACUGACACUGAGGCACGAAAGCGUGGGGAUCAAACAGG